RNAcentral lists this ribosomal RNA (729 nucleotides) under uncultured bacterium. Its description in RNAcentral is "bacterial SSU rRNA". It matches the Rfam family "Bacterial small subunit ribosomal RNA", at positions 43 to 748 of the family's 1533-position model. The record is from RNAcentral.
CAGGCCUAACACAUGCAAGUCGAGCGCGAACGGGGACUUCGGUUCCUUAGUAGAGCGGCGAACGGGUGAGUAACACGUGGGUAAUCUGCCUCCGGGUGGGGAAUAACUCAGGGAAACUUGAGCUAAUUCCGCAUAACGUGGCCGAUCACAAGAUCGGCUACCAAAGCUGGGGACCCUUCGGGGCCUGGCGCUUGGAGAGGAGCCCGCGGCCAAUUAGCUUGUUGGUGAGGUAAUGGCUCACCAAGGCUCCGAUUGGUAGCCGGCCUGAGAGGGCGGACGGUCACACUGGAACUGAGACACGGUCCAGACUCCUACGGGAGGCAGCAGUGAGGAAUUUUCGUCAAUGGGGGAAACCCUGAACGAGCAACGCCGCGUGGAGGACGAAGACCUUCGGGUUGUAAACUCCUGUCGGACGGGACGAAAGUUACCGAGGUUAAUACCCUUGGUAGUUGACGGUACCGUACGAGGAAGCCCCGGCUAACUUCGUGCCAGCAGCCGCGGUAAUACGAGGGGGGCAAGCGUUGUUCGGAAUUACUGGGCGUAAAGGGCGCGUAGGCGGUCUGACAAGUCUUCCGUGAAAGCCCACGGCUCAACCGUGGAACUGCGGGGGAAACUGCCAGACUUGAGUCCGGGAGGGGAGAGUGGAAUUCCCAGUGUAGCGGUGAAAUGCGCAGAUAUUGGGAGGAACACCGGAGGCGAAGGCGUCUCUCUGGACCGGUACUGACGCUG